Molecule: long non-coding RNA, 526 nt
Organism: Mandrillus leucophaeus (drill)
Lineage: Eukaryota; Metazoa; Chordata; Mammalia; Primates; Cercopithecidae
Exons: 2
Source: RefSeq, a predicted model, not a curated record
AUAUGUUAAGUCUCUAGGGGUCAUGUGAAACCCGUAACUGCACUCUAUGUAAUUCCAGCACUCCGGCCUCUCUCCAUGUGCUCUCCGAGGAAUCUUGCUGUGAUCAGUUUUAAGUGCCUCCUGUACUGAAUGUUCUCCAACCUCCAUCUCCAGCUCCAAUGUCUUGAACUCUAGCUCCAUAUUCCUAAAAGGAUGAGAAAACCUGGAGGCCCCUAAGCACUUCAUGCUGAAUUGGUUUGCACCCAAAACGUCAUAGUCCUGUAGAACUUCACAAGAACUAUGUGAGCAUAGUUCUUGUUUCUUUGAAUGGCACAUCACUCCAGCUGCUUAAAUCAGGGCCCAGAAGAGUCUUAAACGCCUUCUUUACCCUUUUACUCCACAUCCAUGCAGUUUACCUGCUUUUAGAACCCAGAGGAAAAGGAUGUCCUCAUGCCCAAUUUACAGCAAAAGCCAUGAAUUUACACAUGACAGCCUCAGAAUUCAUGUCAGGAUAUGUGUUCUAAUCUGAAUAAAGCAUUAUUUCCAA